GGAUGCGAUCAUACCAGCACUAAAGCACCGGAUCCCAUCAGAACUCAAAAAUUAAGCGUGCUUGGGCGAGAGUAGUACUAGGAUGGGUGACCUCCUGGGAAGUCCUCGUGUUGCAAUCC
Molecule: ribosomal RNA, 119 nt
Filed under: Triticum aestivum (bread wheat)
Lineage: Eukaryota; Viridiplantae; Streptophyta; Magnoliopsida; Poales; Poaceae
Source: RNAcentral